UCCUACGGGGGGCAGCAGUGGGGAAUAUUGCACAAUGGGGGGAACCCUGAUGCAGCAAUGCCGCGUGGGUGAAGAAGCACUCCGGUGCGUAAAGCCCUGUCAGCAGGGAAGAAAAUGACAGUACCUGGACAAGAAGCCCCGGCUAACUACGUGCCAGCAGCCGCGGUAAUACGUAGGGGGCAAGCGUUAUCCGGAUUUACUGGGUGUAAAGGGGGCGCAGACGGCAAUGCAAGCCAGGAGUGAAAGCCCGGGGCCCAACCCCGGGACUGCUCUCGGAACUGCAUGGCUGGAGUACAGGAGG
This 301-nucleotide ribosomal RNA is filed under the name uncultured bacterium. RNAcentral's name for it is "bacterial SSU rRNA". It matches the Rfam family "Bacterial small subunit ribosomal RNA", at positions 337 to 655 of the family's 1533-position model. The record is from RNAcentral.